This 477-nucleotide long non-coding RNA is filed under the name Actinidia chinensis (golden kiwifruit). RNAcentral's name for it is "long non-coding RNA (ACHI_LNC004521)". The record is from RNAcentral. Lineage: Eukaryota; Viridiplantae; Streptophyta; Magnoliopsida; Ericales; Actinidiaceae.
AAAAAAAAAAUUAAAUACCAAAAUUCUUUUCAUCACUCUCUCUCUCUCAAACUUUUCCCACCCCAAACACUCUAUUCACCAUGGACAGGGAGUCAUUUAGUGCCCAAUCUUCUACUAUCAUUUUGUAAGCCAAGUCUCUCAAACUUGAAAAAGAAUUCAGUUUACACAGAAAUUUCAAAGUAGAUCAAAAUCUGUGUUCUAGAGAGAGAUACAGCGAUGGCGAUGUCGACGGCCUCCUUCUGCACAUCCUCCUUCAUAUCGGCGCUUUUGAUGAUGACUUUCUUCUUCGGCGCUGGCGAGGGCUUCCGAUCGUCGGAGGGGAACCUGACUAUGAGAGCUCCGGCUCCGAUUCUCUUCGCCUCCUCACUCAUUUUCCUUCGAUUUUCGAUUUUGAUUUGGCGGAGAGAGAGCUUUUUUUUUCUGGUAGAGAGAGUAGAGGUGAAGAAAUGCAGGGAGAGACAGAGAGAGCAAUUUCUC